CUUAAGGCUAUGCGGCUCCUUGUAGGUUUGGAUCAGUAGAAAACGAGCCUAAAUAAUUCUUUUACUGUUAAAAGUUGCCGAUCUCUGAUAAACUUUUAAAAGAAAACAGUUUCGUUUCUGUGAAACAAGUCACGGGGACAGAAGGACCCGCCUCCAUCCUGUGAGUCCACCCAGUAUAUAUAUCAAGUCUCUGGCCCCGCCCUCCAGCCAGAAGUUCGGUAAACAGCAGCGUCGGUUCGUCGGUUCCGUGACCGUCGGUCCACUUUCAGCUGUGGUGAUGAAGAACCGGAAGUUCGACUGAACAUGGACUUCCUCUGCGUUCUGGUUCUGCUCCCGCUCAGCGUCGGUGCCGUUGAUCCAGAACUCAUCAUCACAGCUGAACGUGGACAGAACGUCUCUCUGACGUGCCGCGCCCCCCCCCUCCUGGAGGCGGGGUUCUGGAGUGGAGGCGGGUCGACCUGGGGGAGGAGUUGGUCUUCAGGGCCGGGCUCCUGGAUUCGGACCUGCAGCAUCCGUCUUUCAGGGGCCGCGUGUUUCUGGAGGACGGCGGGACGGAGGACGGAGACCCGUCUGUGGUUCUGGAGCGGGUGGACACGGCGGACUCCGGGACGUACUGGUGCCGGGUCCUGCGGGGAGGCGGCGGCGCUCGGCCGGACUCCGGGCCCGUCGGCGCCGUCCGGCUGGUCGUGGUUCCAGGUGAGUCCGAGGAGCUCCGUCAGAACCGGAGUCGGACCUCUGACGGUUCUGUCCCGCAGAGCUGGAGCUCAUCCAGGCGCAGAGCGGCCAGAGCGUCACGCUGCCGUGCCGCGGCGCCCACGUGGACCCGCAGGUGAACAUCGUGUGGAGCAGACACGACCCGGACCCGCGGGAGGUGCUGCUCAUCCAGGACGGCGUGGUUCUGGGCCAGCACCCGUCCUUCAGGAACCGCGUGGAGGUGGGGCGGGGGGCGGAGCGCGGGGACCUGUCCGUCACCCUGAAGAGCGUCACGCCUGAAGACUCGGGGACGUACGAGUGCAGGGCGGUCCGGAGGAGCGCCCCCCGCAGCAGGAGGUCCGGUCUGCAGGCCGGCCCCAUCAGCAGCGUGCACCUGUCCGUGUCUCCUGCAGGUGAGCCCCUCCCUCAGGUGAGACUGCGGGUCCCAGCCGACCCGGCAGCUGACGCAGAGUGCUUCUGCUCCUCAGCUGCAGGCUCCGCCCACAACGGGGGAGCAGAGGACGCCGUCCCCCCGGCGCUGAUGGCUGGAGCCUUCGCCGCCGGAGUGGCGCUGGGAGCGGCGGCGGCGGUGCUCGCCGUCGUCCUCCGCAGGAGGUCCGAGAGGCAGAACCGGGACGAGGUUCUGAUCCAAAAACUCCAGCCAGAGCGUGCAGCCGCAUAGAAUGGGUCGGGGGUUCGAACCCUCGACCUCGUGGAUCCUCCUGACCGGAGUCCAGCGGGUCGAGCUGCUGAGGUCUUUCAGACAGAACCUGUAGAACUGUUAGCGGGGGAGAGAAUGGACUCAGUCUGAUGUGUUUGUGUGUCAUUCUUCAUUUGUGCAAUAGACAUAAAAUGACUAGAUAGAAUCCACACAUGCACUAAUUAAACCUCCUCUAGUUACACACGUAUGUUGAGACUCUGAGUGAUGCGUUCAAGUGCUGCUAGAAUGCUGGUUCAUCAGAGUUCUCUUUAAGCUUAGCUUGUAAAUAAUAUCUGGUGAAACUUUCAUUUUCCUGCUUUCUUAAACAGACAUGAAUAAAUGAACAUUUUAAAAACACGUAAUCCUUUUAAAAAUAAAACUAUCUCCCAGAAACCAUCACUUCCUCCCUACGGCCCCGCCCCUGAUGGCUCCUCCCACCCCGGGUUCUGUCCCGAGCGCCGGUCACAGUCACGGGUCCAGACCCUGCCUGCAAUCACCGACAGUGUGGGAGGAGCUGUCGGGGGCGGGGCUAUAGAGAGGAAGUGAUCGGCUCUGGAAGAUUAUUUAUUUUAAAGGAAUAAGAGUUUAAAAACUCUAAUUUAUCAGAGAUAUCUGAUUAAGAAAGUGAGAAAAUGAAAGUUUCACCAGAUACUUUAAAGCAGCUGAUAGAACUCUCAUGAACGAGCAUUCUGGCAGUACUUGAACGCAUCACUCAUGGUUAAGUCAAUGAGACGUGAAGAGUCUCAGGAUGGAUUCAUGGGGGGUUCAGGUGUAGUUUUUAUAGAUUUGUGUCAUUAACUUCAACCUGUUGUCAUUUAAAUUCAUGAAUCUAUAAACUUUAUUUCUAUAAAUGUCAUCAUCUCGUAGUUAUGCAUAUAAUAAUGUAUUCUAUGAGUUAAUAAUCCCGUCUCACGCAUAAAUCAAACAUCACAGAUCAGGCUGAUACUCGCUUCUCUACAUAAUAAAACGAUGCGUUCAUGGUCCUAUAGUCUUUAUCACUAUCAGAACUUCAGAUUUUCACAUUAAAAGUAAAUCUGCUUUUGUUUUUCUAGAAGCUUUUAUUUUGAAGUUUUACUGUAUCUGUAUAAACCAUUAAAGCUUGAAUGAUGAGGACUCUGACUGUUCCUUCAACAAUAACCCUUCACAAUAAAACUAAAAAAGACUUCAGAAUAAAAGCCUGCACAGGAAGUGAAGGAAGUUUAAACUGCUGCUGAAGGCGGGACGUCCUGCAGAGCAGGA
Long non-coding RNA from Oryzias javanicus (javanese ricefish), 2632 nucleotides. The record is from Ensembl. NCBI's taxonomy places the organism in Eukaryota, Metazoa, Chordata, Actinopteri, Beloniformes, Adrianichthyidae.